AGUGAACGCUGGCGGCAGGCCUAACACAUGCAAGUCGAACGGCAGCACAAGAGAGCUUGCUCUCUGGGUGGCGAGUGGCGGACGGGUGAGGAAUGCAUCGGAAUCUGCCCAUUUGUGGGGGAUAACCUCGGGAAACCGGGACUAAUACCGCAUACGACCUACGGGUGAAAGCAGGGGAUCUUCGGACCUUGCGCAGAUGGAUGAGCCGAUGCCGGAUUAGCUAGUUGGAGGGGUAAAGGCCCACCAAGGCGACGAUCCGUAGCUGGUCUGAGAGGAUGAUCAGCCACACUGGAACUGAGACACGGCCCAGACUCCUACGGGAGGCAGCAGUGGGGAAUAUUGGACAAUGGGCGCAAGCCUGAUCCAGCCAUGCCGCGUGUGUGAAGAAGGCCUUCGGGUUGUAAAGCACUUUUGUUGGGAAAGAAAAGCAGCCGGCUAAUACCCGGUUGUCAUGACGGUACCCAAAGAAUAAGCACCGGCUAACUUCGUG
RNAcentral lists this ribosomal RNA (490 nucleotides) under uncultured bacterium. RNAcentral describes it as "partial 16S ribosomal RNA". It matches the Rfam family "Bacterial small subunit ribosomal RNA", at positions 29 to 507 of the family's 1533-position model. The record is from RNAcentral.